ACAUGCAGUCGAGCGGUAGAGAGAAGCUUGCUUCUCUUGAGAGCGGCGGACGGGUGAGUAAUGCCUAGGAAUCUGCCUGGUAGUGGGGGAUAACGUUCGGAAACGGACGCUAAUACCGCAUACGUCCUACGGGAGAAAGCAGGGGACCUUCGGGCCUUGCGCUAUCAGAUGAGCCUAGGUCGGAUUAGCUAGUUGGUGGGGUAAUGGCUCACCAAGGCGACGAUCCGUAACUGGUCUGAGAGGAUGAUCAGUCACACUGGAACUGAGACACGGUCCAGACUCCUACGGGAGGCAGCAGUGGGGAAUAUUGGACAAUGGGCGAAAGCCUGAUCCAGCCAUGCCGCGUGUGUGAAGAAGGUCUUCGGAUUGUAAAGCACUUUAAGUUGGGAGGAAGGGUUGUAGAUUAAUACUCUGCGGUUUUGGGGUUAGGGACUGAGGAAGCGCC
RNAcentral lists this ribosomal RNA (445 nucleotides) under Pseudomonas cichorii. RNAcentral describes it as "bacterial SSU rRNA". It matches the Rfam family "Bacterial small subunit ribosomal RNA", at positions 53 to 494 of the family's 1533-position model. The record is from RNAcentral. Lineage: Bacteria; Pseudomonadati; Pseudomonadota; Gammaproteobacteria; Pseudomonadales; Pseudomonadaceae.